CCCACCGGUUUUUCAGUAGGUGGACCUGCGGAGGAUCAUUACCGAGUGAGGGCCCUCUGGGUCCAACCUCCCACCCGUGUUUAUUUUACCUUGUUGCUUCGGCGGGCCCGCCUUAACUGGCCGCCGGGGGGCUCACGCCCCCGGGCCCGCGCCCGCCGAAGACACCCUCGAACUCUGUCUGAAGAUUGAAGUCUGAGUGAAAAUAUAAAUUAUUUAAAACUUUCAACAACGGAUCUCUUGGUUCCGGCAUCGAUGAAGAACGCAGCGAAAUGCGAUACGUAAUGUGAAUUGCAAAUUCAGUGAAUCAUCGAGUCUUUGAACGCACAUUGCGCCCCCUGGUAUUCCGGGGGGCAUGCCUGUCCGAGCGUCAUUGCUGCCCUCAAGCCCGGCUUGUGUGUUGGGCCCCGUCCUCCGAUUUCCGGGGGACGGGCCCGAAAGGCAGCGGCGGCACCGCGUCCGGUCCUCGAGCGUAUGGGGCUUUGUCACCCGCUCUGUAGGCCCGGCCGGCGCUUGCCGAUCAACCCAAAUUUUUAUCCAGGUUGACCUCGGAUCAGGUAGGGAUACCCGCUGAACUUAAGCAUAUCAAUAAGCGGAGGAA
Molecule: ribosomal RNA, 598 nt
Filed under: Penicillium echinulatum
Lineage: Eukaryota; Fungi; Ascomycota; Eurotiomycetes; Eurotiales; Aspergillaceae
Description: eukaryotic LSU rRNA
Rfam family: 5.8S ribosomal RNA (bases 218-370)
Source: RNAcentral